Molecule: transfer RNA, 87 nt
Filed under: Candidatus Doudnabacteria bacterium RIFCSPHIGHO2_02_FULL_46_11
Lineage: Bacteria; Candidatus Doudnaibacteriota
Description: tRNA-Leu
Rfam family: tRNA
About the family: Transfer RNA (tRNA) molecules are approximately 80 nucleotides in length. Their secondary structure includes four short double-helical elements and three loops (D, anti-codon, and T loops).
Source: RNAcentral
GCCGGGGUGGCGAAAUUGGUAGACGCACUACCUUGAGGUGGUAGCGCCCGAAAGGGCGUGCAGGUUCGAGUCCUGUCCCCGGCACCA